UUCAACCUAAAAAAAAAAAAAAGCCAUGGUCGGAUCUGACACAAAGAAAUGGUAGAACCACAUACAUGGCAGCUCCCCAGCAGACCGAGCUCUGGUACCUUCAGAUCAGCAGGAAGGCCUCCAGUACCUGUGUGGGACCAGCAUGCAGCCCAGCCCUGCUUCCAUCACAGCCUCCAUCCUCGCAACGGCAGCAUUCACAAUUUGCACAAUGAAGCUGACCCAAUCAAUCCUAUGCUCAGAAAUAAGAUGCUGCCAGGCCUUCCUCUCCAGGCACCUCUCCUCCAACUAGCACCCCAAUCACCGCAGUUCAGCCACUCCUAUAUCCUCUGAUUUUCCCUAUGUUUCACAGAAGAGACCUUUUCAGCAACAAAGCCGAGGCAGCUGGCGAGAGAUGGCAGGACUCCCCAGAUAAUGUCAGAGCGGUGGCAGCUCCGUGGAAGUCCCCACAUUUCUGACUGUGGCUGUGGUUAUGGCUCAGCUCCUGGGGGAAAUCGGAGCCCAAGCCCAAAUAAAACACACAACAUUUCCUGAACCAAAGGCCCUGGAUUUCUCCCAUCCUCAGAUGUUCCUGGCAUGGUAAGCACAGCACUGGUGCAACUCAGCACAGGACGAGUGCUGGGGCCUGCCCCACUGACCUGCCCCAGCACUGGCUCUCAUUCUGUGUCUCUAAGCGUGCUGUCACUCUGCUGUGAUGAAUUCCCACUUCGUGAGCCCUCUUUGCUUAUCCCUCGCCAGCUGCUGGAAAGAAGCAGCCCUGCUUGCUGUCCCAAGCUCCUGUUGCAGGAGAACAGCAAGACGGUCUGCUUGUCUCUUUCCCAGCCAUUCCUCCCCAGAGGAAGGCUCAGCCUUUGCCAAAGCAGCAGCACAGUACUAACACAAUUCUCAUUAUUUUCACAGCUAUUCACAGGGAAGCUGGCGGCAGCAGGGACCGUCCGAGCGCUUUGCUCUGCUGUCACUUAGGGCUUUCUGCAGGCUGCUGGAGAGAAGCGUUACACUUGGCAUGAGGAAGGUUUCUUUGCCACAGCAAAGAGCUAAGAAAUGUGUUCUUCCUCCCACACAGAAGCCUGCAGAAAUAGAGGACGUCCCCCCUGCCGCCUGAGUCAAGCAAACAAACGGGUUAGUGAGCCCCAACUCUGAAGCUGACAGAAAUGUUAAGUUAGAGGUAUUACAACGACACUUCGCUUCACAUCCUCCUUGAAUCACAGUUGAAAUCACAGUUUUGGCAAAGGGGAAAAAGCUGCAGCUAGACGUGGAAACGCAAAGCUGUGCCUCAACCCAUCACAGAAGCAUUCGUACUUGGAAAGCCGGCGUCUGUUCCUCCACGGCUUCGGUGCGGCCGCAAAGAGCUCCGCAGUGGAGACGCGGUGAAGGACGCGGUCACCACGCCGAGCAGCUCCGCCACGCUGGGAAGCUCAGCCCAGGUUUUGCCACACUGCACGCGGCCUCCAACCCCUCACUCUCCAGUCGCAGCCCUACCUGCACUGAGGAACCAAUCGCCGAGAGAAAAGUUAGCUAUGACUAAAGCAGCAUACUCUGCAUAUCUCCGCUCCUCCCACACCUCGAUUGCAACGCAACCUGCCUCAGCCACCCUCUGAUCUCUCAUCUUUUGUCACUGCUCUCUGGCGACCUUUGAUAGGAAACUGAAUGGGGUGGCUGCUCAGAAGAGUCAUUCCCCACGUGAUGAUGCACUUGACAAGAGAGGAAGAAGGAGAGGAAGGAAAAUGGAGGCGAGAUAUCAGUUUUCCUGUCCGAAAUGCUCAGUGAACUUGUACUUUGCUGGCUCCCUGCUCGGAACACUGACUGAGGUCCCUCUGAGGAGCACAUCCCUCGUACAGCUGAUGAACACCAAGCCCUUCCCUCCCCCGCACACAAAAAAAACAUUCAUUAGAGCCACGUCUGCCUUCUGAGAGACGUGGGAGGAACAGUGAGACCCCUCACCUGCACAAAGCAGAAGUGAGGUUAAGAGUACUUCACUCUUCC
Molecule: long non-coding RNA, 1980 nt
Filed under: Gallus gallus (chicken)
Lineage: Eukaryota; Metazoa; Chordata; Aves; Galliformes; Phasianidae
Description: long non-coding RNA NONGGAT008838
Source: RNAcentral